CUGAAUUAAACAGAAAGCAGCUGGCUUAGAGAAUUACACAUUGGCGAAUAAAUCCGUCAGGAAAGCCUAGAUUUAUAUUACUGUCAGUCUGCUGGAAGCCAAAGGCUAGCAGGGAAUGAUGGGAAUUGUAGUUCAUCAACUUUUGCAUCCCAGCUCUGAAUGUCUGUUGGAAACAGUUCAGUUUAUUAUCACUAUUCAAUGGAUUUCAAUGGCUUUCACUGCCCUCCUCUCCUCCCCAACAGAGCCUGUGAAAUUGUCACACUCAAUUCUAAAAUGUAUCAUCG
Pelobates cultripes (western spadefoot toad) is the source of this 284-nucleotide non-coding RNA. The record is from the annotation of a GenBank genome assembly. Lineage: Eukaryota; Metazoa; Chordata; Amphibia; Anura; Pelobatidae.